ACAACUCAUUCUUCUAAAACCAUAUAAGUAGGAAAAAGUUUUAAUACAACAUACAAAAGUUACGAAAAUUAGAUAUUUUAUUUAUAGUUUAAUCACAAGAGCAAUUUUCUUGUUCUCCAAGACGUAAAUACAUACUAGAAUAAACUCUGUGGAAUAUACAAAAAAUACAUAUUUUUCCCAUGAAAUUUUCUUUAUAAUAAAUAGAAAGGAACACGUGUGUGGCUGAUCCCAAUAAUGCUCCGUGUCUGCUUAGGUUCUCAGUCUGUUGAUUUAUUUUUAGUCCCUUGAAAGAAUGGGGAAGUUCCUUCUCCCCUAAAAGGUCGAGAUAAAUAAUGCAUGAAGCCAAUCCUCCCUCCUGAUUUUUCCCUUUUCCUCCACAUUUUUCCUUUUGAUAGAGAGUUCAGCCUAAAUUUCCACGCUUGCAUUCAGUCAUUACAAAGCCUACAAAUUAUACAAUGACUUCUAACCUGGUCCUCUAACAAAACAACUUUUUCCCCUUAUAAAUCAUAAGAGACAGAUGGCAAAAUGGAGAAGAAAAAGGAAAGAGAAGGACGGGACAAUAGGCAUUGUGACGAAUCUGGGAAACAGAACAAAGUGCACAUCAGAGGGAAGUUUGGUUUGACAGGUGAAAUUCCCACAGCCCGCAGACAGCAAUGGGAAGAAAGCAGAUGCCAGCCAUUGCAAAUCUGUGGAUAAUAUUAUUACCGAUAAAAUCAUUCAGAUGCUAAGAUAACGUUUCUUUCUACUCGACAUUAACAUCUCUAUGUAGAAGCAAAGUUGGAGAGAUCACAGGAACCAGUUGCAUUCCCCCUGGGAGAGUCACACGAACUGCUCCGAGUCCUCUGGCGUUACAGAGAGGGGAGGAACGUCAGGCCCCACUGCAAACUCUUCAGACAUGCCACCUUCAUCUCUUCCCAGCAUCCUUUUAGCCGUAAGAAGCGCCCCCCAAACUCCACCAUCCUCUUUGACAAUAAGCUCCAUCACGCCUUCAAUAAAUUAGAGCCCGUCUGAAGGAAGGAAACCCUUAGCCAAGGAAGGCAACAACCGAGGAAUCAGAACGGCUACAUCUGCUCUGUGAAUUGCAGUGCCGUUUUCUGGAGUGCUUUCCUAAAGACUUAUUUCAUUGGAUACCUGAUGAAAACCAAGGAAAUAGGAGCUGCUUCUUGCAGAAGGGAAGCAGACCUACAGUGAGUCAGGCACUGUACCAGGUAGAAGCGUCCCUGCUGUCUCCUUUUCCUCUGCCCUGCUGCUUGGAACAUGGUAUGACAUUUGGAUCUCUAUCUUGGCUCAUGAGGAAGAAGAGCACAGUCUGGAGACGGUGGAGCAGAGAUGCUGUGCCAGCUCUCCACUGCUUCUUUCCAAAUUUGUGUGCA
This 1373-nucleotide long non-coding RNA is filed under the name Equus asinus (donkey). Its description in RNAcentral is "lncRNA (ENSEASG00005026700.1)". Lineage: Eukaryota; Metazoa; Chordata; Mammalia; Perissodactyla; Equidae. The record is from RNAcentral.